This 467-nucleotide ribosomal RNA is filed under the name uncultured bacterium. Its description in RNAcentral is "partial 16S ribosomal RNA". It matches the Rfam family "Bacterial small subunit ribosomal RNA", at positions 28 to 507 of the family's 1533-position model. The record is from RNAcentral.
GACGAACGCUGGCGGCGUGCUUAACACAUGCAAGUCGAACGGAAAGGCCCUGCUUUUGUGGGGUGCUCGAGUGCGAACGGGUGAGUAACACGUGAGUAACCUGCCCUUGACUUUGGGAUAACUUCAGGAAACUGGGGCUAAUACCGGAUAGGAGCUCCUGCUGCAUGGUGGGGGUUGGAAAGUUUCGGCGGUUGGGGAUGGACUCGCGGCUUAUCAGCUUGUUGGUGGGGUAGUGGCUUACCAAGGCUUUGACGGGUAGCCGGCCUGAGAGGGUGACCGGCCACAUUGGGACUGAGAUACGGCCCAGACUCCUACGGGAGGCAGCAGUGGGGAAUAUUGCACAAUGGGCGGAAGCCUGAUGCAGCAACGCCGCGUGCGGGAUGACGGCCUUCGGGUUGUAAACCGCUUUCACCUGUGACGAAGCGUGAGUGACGGUAAUGGGUAAAGAAGCACCGGCUAACUACGUG